GAAAUGCGAUAAGUAGUGUGAAUUGCAGAAUUCAGUGAAUCAUCGAAUCUUUGAACGCACAUUGCGCCUUCUGGUAUUCCGGGAGGCAUGCCUGUUCGAGCGUCAUCAAAAACCUCAAUCUCUGAUUUAUCAUUGGUUGGUCUUGCACUGGAGGCGUAAGCUUCCUCUGCGAAAUCCAAUGGCGAUGAGCCACGCAACCAAAGCGUAGUAAUUUUUACCGUGAUGGAAACGUGAGCGCAUCCGCCGUAACCCCCCCAUUCUAAGUUUUUGACCUCGGAUCAGGUAGGGAUACCCGCUGAACUUAA
RNAcentral lists this unclassified non-coding RNA (305 nucleotides) under uncultured Pyronemataceae. RNAcentral's name for it is "sequence contains ITS1". The stretch from base 1 to 105 matches the Rfam family "5.8S ribosomal RNA", at positions 50 to 154 of the family's 154-position model. Lineage: Eukaryota; Fungi; Ascomycota; Pezizomycetes; Pezizales; Pyronemataceae. The record is from RNAcentral.